Molecule: ribosomal RNA, 508 nt
Filed under: uncultured bacterium
Lineage: Bacteria
Description: partial 16S ribosomal RNA
Rfam family: Bacterial small subunit ribosomal RNA
Source: RNAcentral
GACGAACGCUGGCGGCGUGCCUAAUACAUGCAAGUCGAACGCUUCUUUCCUCCCGAGUGCUUGCACUCAAUUGGAAAGAGGAGUGGCGGACGGGUGAGUAACACGUGGGUAACCUACCCAUCAGAGGGGGAUAACACUUGGAAACAGGUGCUAAUACCGCAUAACAGUUCAUGCCGCAUGGCAUAAGAGUGAAAGGCGCUUUCGGGUGUCGCUGAUGGAUGGACCCGCGGUGCAUUAGCUAGUUGGUGAGGUAACGGCUCACCAAGGCCACGAUGCAUAGCCGACCUGAGAGGGUGAUCGGCCACACUGGGACUGAGACACGGCCCAGACUCCUACGGGAGGCAGCAGUAGGGAAUCUUCGGCAAUGGACGAAAGUCUGACCGAGCAACGCCGCGUGAGUGAAGAAGGUUUUCGGAUCGUAAAACUCUGUUGUUAGAGAAGAACAAGGACGUUAGUAACUGAACGUCCCCUGACGGUAUCUAACCAGAAAGCCACGGCUAACUACGUG